GACGAACGCUGGCGGCGUGCUUAACACAUGCAAGUCGAACGAUGAUGCCCAGCUUGCUGGGUGGAUUAGUGGCGAACGGGUGAGUAACACGUGAGUAACCUGCCCCUGACUCUGGGAUAAGCGUUGGAAACGACGUCUAAUACUGGAUAUGACUGCCGGCCGCAUGGUCUGGUGGUGGAAAGAUUUUUUGGUUGGGGAUGGACUCGCGGCCUAUCAGCUUGUUGGUGAGGUAAUGGCUCACCAAGGGGACGACGGGUAGCCGGCAUGGGAGGGUGACCGGCCACACUGGGACUGAGACACGGCCCAGACGCCUACGGGAGGCAGGAGUGGGGAAUAUUGCACAAUGGGCGAAAGCCUGAUGCAGCAACGCCGCGUGAGGGAUGACGGCCUUCGGGUUGUAAACCGCUUUUAGUAGGGAAGAAGCGAAAGUGACGGUACCUGCAGAAAAAGCACCGGCUAACUACGUGCCAGCCGCCGCCGUAA
RNAcentral lists this ribosomal RNA (483 nucleotides) under uncultured bacterium. Its description in RNAcentral is "partial 16S ribosomal RNA". It matches the Rfam family "Bacterial small subunit ribosomal RNA", at positions 28 to 523 of the family's 1533-position model. The record is from RNAcentral.